Molecule: ribosomal RNA, 615 nt
Filed under: Lactococcus lactis
Lineage: Bacteria; Bacillati; Bacillota; Bacilli; Lactobacillales; Streptococcaceae
Description: bacterial SSU rRNA
Rfam family: Bacterial small subunit ribosomal RNA
Source: RNAcentral
UACUUGUACCGACUGGAUGAGCAGCGAACGGGUGAGUAACGCGUGGGGAAUCUGCCUUUGAGCGGGGGACAACAUUUGGAAACGAAUGCUAAUACCGCAUAAAAACUUUAAACACAAGUUUUAAGUUUGAAAGAUGCAAUUGCAUCACUCAAAGAUGAUCCCGCGUUGUAUUAGCUAGUUGGUGAGGUAAAGGCUCACCAAGGCGAUGAUACAUAGCCGACCUGAGAGGGUGAUCGGCCACAUUGGGACUGAGACACGGCCCAAACUCCUACGGGAGGCAGCAGUAGGGAAUCUUCGGCAAUGGACGAAAGUCUGACCGAGCAACGCCGCGUGAGUGAAGAAGGUUUUCGGAUCGUAAAACUCUGUUGGUAGAGAAGAACGUUGGUGAGAGUGGAAAGCUCAUCAAGUGACGGUAACUACCCAGAAAGGGACGGCUAACUACGUGCCAGCAGCCGCGGUAAUACGUAGGUCCCGAGCGUUGUCCGGAUUUAUUGGGCGUAAAGCGAGCGCAGGUGGUUUAUUAAGUCUGGUGUAAAAGGCAGUGGCUCAACCAUUGUAUGCAUUGGAAACUGGUAGACUUGAGUGCAGGAGAGGAGAGUGGAAUUCCAUGUGGUA